RNAcentral lists this long non-coding RNA (1438 nucleotides) under Panax ginseng (ginseng). RNAcentral describes it as "long non-coding RNA (PGIN_LNC004079)". Lineage: Eukaryota; Viridiplantae; Streptophyta; Magnoliopsida; Apiales; Araliaceae. The record is from RNAcentral.
AAAAUUUGACCCAAGACUCUAUAAGAGUUAUGGACAUGAUGAUUCCUAAUCUUAAGUAUGUUAAGAUAUGAGGUUGUCCAGCUUUUGUGAAAAGGUUUCAAAGGUUAUGUUUAGAAAUUUUGUUUGACUAAGUACAGAUUUGUGGGACAUCCUAAAGUAAGUUUAGGGUAUAUGUUUUAUAAUCAUACUUAGCAAAAGGCAUUUUUUACAACACAAUCUACCUUCUAAGAUAAUUGUGUUUAUCACUGAAGGGGCUAGUGGGAGGAUAAUAGAUCUUGAAGUGUUCAAGAACCACAAAGUACUAUAAGUCAAAUAAGAGGAACCUGUAGAUAGACCUAUUUUACCACAACUGAAUUAUAAAUCUGGAAUAGUAACGAAGAUACCUAGGAGGUAUGGAUUCAUUAUAGAUGAUGAUGAUGAUGAUGAUGAUGAUGAGGUACACAUCAUAGAAGAUGAUGAUCCAGUUACAUACGAUGAGGUAAGAGUUGUAGACACUUAGAAAAUUGGAUUGAAGCAAGAUUCUCAAAAAUGGAACAUUCGUUUUGAUAAGAAAAUCAAAAGAGUUUGAUUUUAUCAAAAAUAAGAAUGAACCUAGUGUGUACAAAAGGGUCAGUGGGAGCGUCGUGACAUUCCUAGUAUUAUAUGAUGAUAUAAUACGGAUAAGGAAUGGCAUAUCAAUGUUAUAAUCAGUAAAGAUUAAGUUAUCUAAACAUUACUCUAUGAAUAAUUUGGGAAGAGUAUCUAAAUUGGGGAUACAAAUCUAUAUAGAUAGAUUUAAAAGGAUGCUCGGCUUAACCCAAGGAAUGUAUAUUCAUUUGACAUGUCAAACUCCUAGUGAUGUCUCAUGUUGAUGAGCCCUGAAGUGUAUCUCUCUUAAUAGUCCCCAUAGACUCCUAAAAGAGAGAUCGCAUGAGUAACUAUCAUGUAUUCAAUAAAAUGUACGAGACCUAAUGUUGAUCACUCAUAUUCUAAAGAAGAUCAUUGUAAGACAGUUGAAAAUAUCUUAAAGUACUUUAACGACACUAAGGAUGUGAUCAUAUUUAUGGUGGGUCUGAAUUAAAACUAGAGGGAUUAACAGACUCAAGUUUUUUAGACUGACCAAGACGACAACAAAUCCACUUUAGGGUAAAGCAUUACCUUGAAUGGUGGUGCAGUGAAUUAGAAAGGUUCCAAAAAAAUAAAGAUUUUUGGUUUUAGUGAUAAAGGCAAAGUAUAUAUAGCUGUAAAUGAAGCUGUAAGUUGAUUAUUUGGAUUAAAAGUUCAUUAUAGAACUAGGAAUAGUUCCUAAAUCUCAUCUUGGAUUUAAACAUGUGGUUGCGGCACUUUCAUUUGAUUAGAGGAAUCAUUGAAAGAUAGGAAAUCACUAUAGAGAUAGUGGACUCUCAAGAACAACAUUACAUAUCCAUUAACUAAAGCUUAUCCAACAACAGGAUAAUAG